CCUACGGGAGGCAGCAGUGGGGAAUAUUGCGCAAUGGGCGAAAGCCUGACGCAGCGACGCCGCGUGAGGGAUGAAGGUCUUCGGAUCGUAAACCUCUGUCAGCAGGGAAGAACGGUCACUGUGCUAAUCAGCAGUGAAUUGACGGUACCUGCAAAGGAAGCACCGGCUAACUCCGUGCCAGCAGCCGCGGUAAUACGGCGGGUGCGAGCGUUAAUCGGAAUUACUGGGCGUAAGGCGCUCGUAGGCGGUAGGUCAAGUCAAGGGGGAAAUCCCCGCGCUCAACGUGGGAACUGCCUUUGAAACUGGCAAACUGGAGUGGGUGAGAGGAUAGUGGAAUUCCAGGUGUAGGAGUGAAAUCCGGAGAUAUCUGGAGGAACAUCAGUGGCGAAGGCGACUAUCUGGCACAUAACUGACGCUGAGGAGCGAAAGCGUGGGUAGCAAACAGGAUUAGAUACCCUAGUAGUC
RNAcentral lists this ribosomal RNA (465 nucleotides) under uncultured bacterium. Its description in RNAcentral is "partial 16S ribosomal RNA". It matches the Rfam family "Bacterial small subunit ribosomal RNA", at positions 338 to 795 of the family's 1533-position model. The record is from RNAcentral.